CUUUAAGGGUCCUGAAGGAACGUUGAAGACGACGACGUUGAUAGGCCGGGUGUGUAAGCGCAGCGAUGCGUUGAGCUAACCGGUACUAAUGAACCGUGAGGCUUAACCUUACAACGCCGAAGGUGUUU
Molecule: ribosomal RNA, 128 nt
Filed under: Escherichia coli
Lineage: Bacteria; Pseudomonadati; Pseudomonadota; Gammaproteobacteria; Enterobacterales; Enterobacteriaceae
Also listed under: 14 other names
Description: partial 23S ribosomal RNA
Rfam family: Bacterial large subunit ribosomal RNA (bases 1-110)
Source: RNAcentral